RNAcentral lists this ribosomal RNA (432 nucleotides) under uncultured bacterium. Its description in RNAcentral is "bacterial SSU rRNA". It matches the Rfam family "Bacterial small subunit ribosomal RNA", at positions 96 to 524 of the family's 1533-position model. The record is from RNAcentral.
UGGCGGACGGGUGAGUAAAGUAUCGGAACGUACCAUUGAGUGGGGGAUAACGUAGCGAAAGUUACGCUAAUACCGCAUAUACCCCGAGGGGGAAAGCAGGGGAUCGCAAGACCUUGUGCUCUUUGAGCGGCCGAUAUCAGAUUAGCUAGUUGGUGAGGUAAAGGCUCACCAAGGCGACGAUCUGUAGCGGGUCUGAGAGGAUGAUCCGCCACACUGGAACUGAGACACGGUCCAGACUCCUACGGGAGGCAGCAGUGGGGAGUUUUGGACAAUGGGGGCAACCCUGAUCCAGCCAUGCCGCGUGAGUGAAGAAGGCCUUCGGGUUGUAAAGCUCUUUCGGCCGGGAGGAAAUCGCAUAGGUUAAUACCCUGUGUGGAUGACAGUACCGGAAUAAGAAGCACCGGCUAACUACGUGCCAGCAGCCGCGGUAAU